This 3942-nucleotide long non-coding RNA is filed under the name Sus scrofa (pig). RNAcentral's name for it is "lncRNA (ENSSSCG00000052436.1)". Lineage: Eukaryota; Metazoa; Chordata; Mammalia; Artiodactyla; Suidae. The record is from RNAcentral.
AAGAUUAUGCUUUAAUGAGUUUAAAUUAGGUGUAUUUGUGAAAAUAUUCCCAAAUUUGUGAGUGGAAAUUUUUAAAAAUUGAGUGAGACCAUCAAUUCUCAAGUGUAGUUUCUGGGCCUAAUACAGUCUUUCGUUGCCCAGCUCUCCUGACCUCAUCUAUUUUGAUUAAAGUUUAAAAUGCAUACAUUACCAAAUGCUACAAACCAACAUCAUUGCUGAGAAAAGAUGCUUAGGUCGUUGAAUUGACGAAGGUACCAUUUUAUCUCAUCCCGUGAUGUCCUCAGGGAACACUUUCAAGGGGAUGCAGAGGAGUGUUGUUUUUCAGCAUUUACAGCAACAGAGCAUGUGCCAAACCCAAGUCAUGCUUCCUCUUGACCUGUGCUUCUGCUGAAAGAGUCUGGCCUAUAAUCCAGCCCACGGAUACCCCGGGGGUGUUUUCUAUCAACCUUUGCUAAUCUAUCCAUCACAUUAGGGAAGUCUUCCCAUGCUCAAAGAUGCCACUAGGAGCACAUGGACAGCUGAAGCUUUUAAAUAAAGUUGGUUCUAGAAAUAUGAAGGGGAAGUACUGAGCUUCUUUGGUGUUUCUUUAUGUUUCGAGAUAUUUCUGGACAUCUGAAAGAACUCGGGCUAAAUUAAUUUACAGGUCAGUUAUCCCGGGGGAAAAAGUACAGGUAAUAAAAAUAUUUCCAUUGUAAUAGGCAUUAAAAGGAAAUACUGAUCUCAGAAUUAUUCUAUUGGCAUUCUGGUUCCAGAGAAUCUUAGUUCAUGUAUUCAUGUAUUCACAAAUCAGUGAAUGGUAUGUAUGUCUACAUACAUUAUGGUUGUCAACAAACAUGACCUAACAUACCUAAAGACAGUGUGUCUCAACUGAUGUGACCCAUUAGUGAUUUGUGAAAUCAGUGUUGUGGGCUGUAACUUUCACUUUUUUAUUUUUAAAUGAAAGCUACUAUAGAAUAAAACGUUCUCCGAGUGUGUCCUAUAUUGAAAGACAAGUAUGGCUUAGUGAUGUGUUUAUUUCAGUUUGUGUAUGUUUAGUGGAUAGUAUGUCACAAUGUCAGAUAAAAUUUAAAGCCAAUAUCAUAGGAAGUUUAUGUCCUUUUGGUAAUAAUAAAAGGUCACGCUUUUAAAAAUUCCUCUCUAAAAAUGAAUUCUAAUUUCCAAAGCUCUGUGUGUGUGCAUGCAUGUGCAAAGAAUAAGAGUGUGGGCUUUUGCUUACAUACUUGUGUGUGUUUGUGAUUCUACAACAGAAAGAGUACUUGAAAAAAAUUAAUAUUUUACUGCAGGAUUCCAAUAGCCUUCACCAUUAUUUCCAGUCUUAGCCACUUAGAAGUAGCAGAACAUUCUCUUCUCCGGCUCACUGGUAACAUUGUUAAAAUUUGUUAUUGUGUCAUGAAAAAUGACCUCACUCCCAAAAAAGAAAUGUAGGCAAGGACUGGGACAUAAAAGACCAGGUUAAUUGGCUGAUUACAGCUUUUAUACCUGGGCAACGAAACAAGAGUAGCAUUUCUGAUUUUUCUAUAAAGACAUCCUCAAGUCUUUUGGUAGAACUCCUAGGAUGAGUUUUGAAACUAUAAAAUUCUUUCUGUUAUCUCCAACUUGGAGAUGUAGACACAUGUCUUUGACUUUACAAAUGAAAACUAAAGUUUACACAAAGAACAUAGGCCCUUCUUGAGGCUAUACAAAUAAUUUCAGAGCAAAAUUUAUGAUGUCUAGAAAACAGGCCUCGUUGCUUACCAUGGAUGCUUAAUUUGUAUUUUCAACAUAUAUUUAUAGGUAAAGCUUUUUUGUGAACAGGAUGUUCAUCAGAUCAAAUGCAUGGAUGUAAUUAAAUUUCUGCUUGUUGGGACUUGUUUUAUAGCUCUUAUGAAAAGUAAAUAUAAAUAAAGCUGCUUUGGAGAUUUAUGCCUUUUCUAACAUUUGACUAGAAAAGCAUGGGAAGUUAACCAUUUCCGUGAGGAAGCAGAAGUGCUCUUGUUUAUGUUCUUUAAGAUACUAAAGGAGAAAUGAAGCCUAGACUAGUUUCUAGUGACAAAUACAAGUAAGCAGAGUUCAGAACGAACUCUGCUGUCUUAGAAUUUGAUGAUUUAAGGGUCCUUAGCUCCUGGUCUGUUUUCACUGUUCACAGUUUACGUCUAGAUCCUACAGAUGUCUUUUCUAGGCUUCCACCAUUUUUGAAAAACAUAGUGUCCUUCUUCUCUCCAGCCCCAGCCCUCUUUGCAGAUCUGAGUUCUGCUGGUUCUUUGAAACUUCAAACCAAUUUCCCUGUAACUCCCAGCCCCUCCUGGUUACCAAAACCUGAAUUAACACCCUCUUAAAGUCCUAAGCUACAAACUAUUGCAUCAAUGACAAUAAGAAUAUACUUUGCACAUUCUGUCAGUUAUUGCUUUUUAAAAUUUAGAGGCUUUUAAAAAUAGAUUACUUUCAGAGACCAUCUUCAUGGGGUUCAAAGAUGUUACUAAUCAGUAACAUUAAGUAUAUUCCUGGGUCAUGUCUAGAAAGGACCAAUAAUGAGAUGAAAACUUAAAAGAGAAACAAGGAAAAAAUAAUGAGUGAUAAAAUAUAGGCUUAUAAUUGCAAAAUGUCAUAAAAAUCCUCAUAUUGAUAUAUGAAUAAUUAAUAUGAUUAAUUAAUAACUGUUUUAUCAUCUUAUACUAGAUAUUUGGAGUUAGCACAUGCAUUUUUCCAUUCUCACAUUUAUCUUUACUGCCUCUACUUCACAGUAUACCAAUAUUCCAAUUAUUUGGCAUCAUUUAGGAUGACUCUGGUUGCAAGUAACAGAAAACCCAGCUGAAACGGACAACAAGAGCAUUCGUUGGCUUAAAGCACUAGAAAUCUAGGGGUUGGACAGGUUUUGUGUUUCUCUGAAUCUGCUGGGUCUGCUCCAUUUGCCUGGAGUUCAUUUGGCUCUGCCGUUAUGUGUCCACUGGCGUCUUGUUGAAGCUGCAGCAGCUUUAUGCCCAAUGUUGGCAGAUUGGUCUUGCUGGAGCUGCAGUAGCUUCAUGCCCAAUGUUGGCAGAGGACAAAUUGUCCAAAGGGGAAAGAGAAAGGGGAGUUUCAUAACCAUUCCAAAAGCAGCAGGGACAAUCUCUCCUAAGAUGAUUCUCCGGUGAUGUCCAUGUGCCCUUUUGCCAAAUUAUGCCAUGUGACCCUUCCUACAAACAUAACCAGGCCAAUCACAUUCACAGUUUGAGCUGAGACACCGGAGCUGAGUAGAAAAUAAGAUGCCUCAACAAAAAUGGAGUUCUCUUGGGAAGAACGAAUUAGAGAAAAGAUGCUGAAAAGACAACCAACAACCCUUACUCCCACUUUCAAAAAAAAACUCUUCUUCCCAAGUGAAUGCAAAGCUUUCUAAUGGCCGGUAUGAGGUUCAGUAAGAAUAUGUGUUGGCUUUGCUAAAUAUAAAUUUCUCCCUGGGUCUAUGUUUCCCAUAAUGAUUUCAUAGGUAUAUUAUUUGGGGAAACUAGUAAAUAUUUAAUUACUUUGGAAGAAUACAUUUUGUGUGACAUCGAGAAUGACUUUUCCUCGGUAUUCUGCCUACCUGUAAUAGUAUUGGGAACAUGGUGAUUCUCCAAAAAAUAGUGAUGCUGAUUCUCUCCAUUUCAAUGUAUUUUCUUUUAGCAAAAAGCUGUGCUUUGCAGGUCACUUAAUAUUCUGAUGCAAGCAGGUCACUUAAUAUUCUGAUGCAACAGAACUUUCGAAGGCCCUUAGUCUAUAUUUAAAAGUGUUUAAGAAAAUUAGCUCACUGAUUACUAGUGAUGAUGUAAUCUUCCACUGUUGCCAUGGUAGCUUUUGGUAGUAAGGAUAUUUCAUUUUUAUUGUUUCAUUCAUAAGGAAUACAACAAGAAAGUACUGGUGCUUAUAAGCAUUAUCCCAUAAUAUCUAAUAAUCCCAUUAUUAGAUAUUUGAGAAAGAGUUAUUAUGUUUGGGAUAGUUUUUCCCUCC